CUGAUUUUUUUUGUCUUACAUUUUGCUAAAUAUGACAAUAAAGUGACUAUUGUUAACUGCGGAUGUGCAGACACAUGACCUAGUGGGCUGGGCUGUCAGUCAAACAUCUCUGACGGGACGGCAGAAGAGGACAGUGGCUGAUUUUUACACCAUUGCUGAGGUAGAUCAGAUCGAUGGCUAAAAAUACAAAGAUUUGAGCUAUAUUUUGAGGGAAACUUAAAAGCUCCAUUUUAUAUCUUCAUAAAUCACAAAAUCUAGAUCUGACCGCUCCAUUAAUUGCUGACUUCUAUGCUUUUCUAAUUCUAAGGUGGACCCAAAAUUUGCAAGGGGACACAAAAGACACAAAGGCAAAGAUCCAACAGUAGCACGAGUACUUUUGGCGGUAAUGUGACUUGACUUAUAUUAUCCCAACAUCCAGAGACUAUUGACCCUCUCCACCUUGGUCCACCUUUUAUCACCCCAUAUAAUGCAGGCUUAGUCAUUAAGUUUCCCCUCUGUCAGUGUUAGAGGUGUGGGUGUUUUCCAGUCUCCAGCACCUGAGUGUGAUUCUAGUAGCUGAUGCCAUCUGAAUAGUCCAGUAUCAGUCGGGGACCUCAGUUGUAACAUUUGUUACAUUUUCAGCUGGUACAAUUCUCUCUCACCCGAUAUGGCGGGGCAUUUUGAUUCUAUUGUGUCAACAGAAUCAAAUCCUUAGUAAAACCGCUUACCCUCUAACUAGUGGUGGCGCUGCACCAAGAACUAGUGAAGAAGCAGUUUUUCUGCAGCAGAGUUUGAUUGCGCAUUCACACCUCAACAAACAAACUUCAUUUUCUAGGUAAACAAACUAAAGUUCAAUUAAAGUGGACUAAACAAGGCUGGUGUGAAUGCACCCUUAGCGUCCAGAGGGGUGUUAUGGAGUACAGAGAUUCUACAGCUCUUUGCAACUUUGGUUGUGCUUCCUUCCUUCCCAACACUGCUGGGUCUCCUGCUGUCUGCACCCUGACACAACACUUUUUACGUCGGACACAAACUCCUAAAGCAGAGUAACAAUAAUGCAGCUUUUAACAACUGAGAAGAUUCGUCCAAUGAACAUCUACUGUUAUUUUCACACGGCGGACCCGCUGAACGCAGGUCUCGGCGUGGUCCGACACUCACCGGGAAACAUUCAGGGGAAGCGAAAGAACAUGACUGAAAUCAAACAGGCGUAAAGUAAAUCUGAAGCAUCCAAACACAUGAUGAAGAAGAAAGAGUUCACAUAAAGGCACUUUAAGAGAAAGCUUGACUCUAAGCAACGACGUGUGGGCAGCUCAUUAAAGUGACUCUGAUGUGUAAACUUGUCAAUGGGCAGCUCAUCAGAUUUAAAUGUAGUCUUUAUGAACUAGUAAUAUGUAAACACUGAGACAUAAAACAGAGUGAUUUUAUGUCAAAGUUAGGAUUUAACUUUAUAAAUCUAUUUUUUUCUGUGUGAGUUUUCUUUUUAAUCAUUAAAAUAAUAAAAAAAUAGUAUUUUGGACAAGUGUUAUAAUAUCUGUUUCAGUUAGA
Molecule: long non-coding RNA, 1521 nt
Organism: Xiphophorus couchianus (Monterrey platyfish)
Lineage: Eukaryota; Metazoa; Chordata; Actinopteri; Cyprinodontiformes; Poeciliidae
Exons: 3
Source: RefSeq, a predicted model, not a curated record